Molecule: long non-coding RNA, 1290 nt
Filed under: Cyanistes caeruleus (blue tit)
Lineage: Eukaryota; Metazoa; Chordata; Aves; Passeriformes; Paridae
Description: lncRNA (ENSCCEG00000014875.1)
Source: RNAcentral
GUAUUGCCAAAAACUCAUUGAGAAAAAGAGCAAGACACAGACCAAAAAAUUCUUGCAUCUGUUGGCCAUUUAAUCAUUUGUUCUGUAAAAAAUAUCAUGUAGCACUGUACAUUACAAAAGAAAAAAGAAAUAAAUUUCUAUCAUGCAGCUGUAUGAGAACUCACUGUACUUUUCUUCCCUAUUAGCCAGCAGUGCAGAUUAGUCUAUCCUGAGUCCUGAGGAUUUAGAUAACUUCCACUCUUUGGUUUUUCUUUUCCUUUUUUUUUUUUUUUCCUUCAUCUUUUUCAGUUUCCGUCUCUAAUGUAGUAAUUCGCUAGUGUAUUCAUUUCAAUCCUGUGGAACUAUUUACAUACUGUUCUUCUGUUGUAUUUCUUUGUAGAGAAGAAAACUCAAAAGGCCACCAGGCAGAAAGUCAAGUCAUCAGUCCGUGGUCCCACUGGGCUUGUGGAAUUAAGGGAUGAAAUCUCUGCAGUUGUACAGUGGUCCAUGAGGAGGCUGAUGACAGCAGGGAAGGAUAAAACAAAAGGGAAAUAAGUAUUUAUUUUAUCAGUUUAUGACUUCUGAGGAACUGCUCCACUGUUUGAAACCAGUAAAUUUUUCCUCUGCCUUCACACCUUCAUAUCAAGAGUCUGAUGUACACUGGAAACAGAUGGAAGACAGAAUUUGAGAGACAAAUGCAGUUUCCAGUACCAACAAAUGCAUCAGAUCAUUAGCAAACCAUGAUUUGUCAAAGCACCUCAAAAGUCAGCAUCAAGAUAUGUUUUGUCAAGUAGCUGCUUGGGCAUCAUUGGUCCUGAUACUACCACUCAGGGUAAAGGUAUAUGCAGGAACAUGGGGCAGGCAGUGUGUCCUCAUCAUGCUCUUAGCUUCUCAACAAAUCUAUGGAGCAGAUCCCCAGGUGAACUCAAGUUUGGAACCCUAUAGUUGAUCAUGAUCCUUGAAGGAGGAAAAGUUGAAGCCAAGCAAAGAGAAGAAUCCUUUAUCCUUAUCCUUAUUCCUGCUGAGCCGUGAGCUGAAUCUCCCAGGCAACUAGAAGAGCAAAGGUAGGAUAAAACACAUCUCUUGUUGAUGGCAGGAGGCCUUAUCUUCCACAGCUGGGAAACCAGGACUGUUUGAUUGGUGCUUAGAAUUACAAAAUCAGGUUGAUACAUUUUCAGCCCGAUACUUUAAACCUGUUGUCUGUGUUCUGUAUUAUUAUUCACCUCAACAUCUGGAUCAAAAGAUUGCAUUUCACUUUCAUUUUUUAACCACUUUGAGGGUAAAACAGAAAUUUCAAAUCAGACAAUAUUU